Ahaetulla prasina is the source of this 4236-nucleotide long non-coding RNA. RefSeq lists it as uncharacterized. The record is from RefSeq and is a predicted model, not a curated record. NCBI's taxonomy places the organism in Eukaryota, Metazoa, Chordata, Lepidosauria, Squamata, Colubridae. The transcript is spliced from 3 exons.
UUAAAAGCAUUUUUUCGGCUGAAGAAAAAAUGCUUUUAAAAGUUUUUAAAAAAACAACUCUGAUGAUCGCGCUGCUCAGCUGGGCAUUGGGGGGCAGGGAUUUUUGCUACUGGUUCUCUGAACCACCCAUCACCAUCGCUACUGGAUCGGGCGAUCUGGUCCGAACUGGGAGCAUUUCACCCCUGAUUUUAAUUUUAUUUGGGGUUGCUCUUCUACCCUUUCUUUCCCCUCCUUUCACAACAAACCUUCUUCUCCUCUUUCCCCUCCCUCCCUCCUCACCUCUCCUACUUUCUUCCUCCUCCUCUCCUUCCUCUUUCCUACUUCCCCUUCCUCUCCCCCACUCCUCCCCUCUUUUCCCCCUUUCUCACCUUCUCUCCUACUUUUGGGGUCAAGCUAUUCUCCUUCUCCUUCUCCUUCUGUGGUUCCUUCACUGGGACUUUUUUUGAUUAUUCAAUUUUUUUAAAAAAAGAAAUCAUGUUGUGGUAUUACAACACAAAAUACCUGUUCUUUUCAGGCAUGCUUUAACAUCUGAACAAAUUGUUUGGAAUGCAUAGGUGGUCCUUGUUUAAAAGCAAUGGCAAUCCGAAGGCCAAUCUUUAUGGUGCGAGAUGGUAUGUAGAUAUCAGUGUUUCCAAUGUAUGGAAACAAUUUUUACGAGACUCUUAAGCAGCAGUAAAAUUGAGAUACAACAUUCUGCUUCCCAAGGUACAAUGUCAUCUUGUGGUUUGAAUUUGUGUGUGGCUUGAAUUUAGACCUUCUGGUUAGUAUUAAUAAACCAGGUUUUAUAGAUUAGUAUGCACACAAACUCCUACACUCUAUUCAAUAAAAACUGGUCCAGGGGUGUCCAAACUUGGCAAUUUUAAGGCUUGUGGACUUCAACUAAAUAGUAUUUAGUGCAAUAUAAAAAAUGCAAAUCAUUUUUCUGCGGACCACCAAAAUUUUCUCCUGGACCACUAGUGGUCCAUGGAUCACCUGUUGGUGACCACUGCUCUAAAAGACCUUAGAGCAGGGGUCUCCAACCUUGGUCCCUUUAAGACUUGUGGACUUCAACUCCCAGAGUUCCUCAGCCAGGUUUGCUGGCUGAGGGACUCUGGGAGUUGAAGUCUACAAGUCUUAAAGAGGGACCAAGGUUGGAGACCCUGCCUUAGAGUCAGUGGCCUUUCUACUAUGAAAGGUCAGUGGUCCAUUUAUGCCAGGGAGUUGAAGUCCACAAGUCUUAAAGUUGCAAAGUUUGGACAACCCUGAUCUAUGCUAACUGGCUGCAGCUCAUUUCCCUUCCUGAUCCCCAUCUGCAAAUCCCAAUAACUAAACCUAGUGGUCAAUCUUUGUAAAACAACAGUCCUUCCCCUGAAUUAAAAAAUCAAAAUUGCCUCAAAAUUGGCUCACUUACAAAUGUCAACACUCCAGAAUGCAUUUCGAAACAAAACACACUGUAGUUCCAUCUACAGUGGUCAGGGCUUUACAAUUUAUGGUAAGAAGAUAUGAAUCAGGAACAGGAAAUGUGAAGGACAAAAAGAGGUCCAAGAGGGGAAAACAAGACAACAUUGAGAUGUACGAGGUCCAAGGCUACACCAUGAUCCGACAGGCACGGACAAUCUCUCGCUCUGUUGUCCAGGCAGCCAAACCAGGAUGUGGGUGACCGGAGGCCAUGUUUGGCUUUGAAAGAGGGACCCCAAGUCCUUAUAAUAAGAACUGUCACCUGGUGUGCUCAACAACUUUAUUUUUUCACCUCUUUCCAGAUUCCCAGAGGGCAAAGGAAAUUAGGAUAGGAUAGGAUAGGAUAGGAUAGGAUAGGAUAGGAUAGGAUAGGAUAGGAUAGGACUCUUUAUUGGCCAAGUGUGAUUGGACACACAAGGAAUUUGUCUUUGGUGCAUACGCUCUCAGUAUACAUAAAAGAAAAGAGACAUUCAUCAAGAAUCAUAAGGUACAACACUUAAUGAUAGUCAUAGGGUACAAAUAAGCAAUCAGGAAACAAUAUCAAUAUAAAUCUUAAGGAUACAAGCAAAGUUCAGUCAUGCAGUCAUAAGUGGGAGUAGAUGGGUGGUGGGAACAAUGAGAAGAUUAAUAGUAAUGCAGAUAUAGUAAAUAGUUUGACAGUGUUGAGGGAAUUAUUUGUUUAGCAGAGUGAUGGUGUUCAGGAAAAAACUGUUCUUGUGUCUAGUUGUUCUGGUGUGCAGUGCUCUAUAGCGUCGUUUUGAGGGUAGGAGUUGAAACAGUUUAUGUCCAGGAUGUGAGGGCUCUGUAAAUAUUUUCACAGCCCUCUUUUUGACUCGUGCAGUAUACAGGUCCUCAAUGGAAGGCAGGUUGGUAGCCAUUGUUUUUUCUGCAGUUUCAAUGAUCCUCUGAAGUCUGUGUUUUUCUUGUUGGGUUGCAGAACCAAACCAGACAGUUAUGGAGGUGCAGAUGACAGACUCAAUAAUUCCUCUGUAGAACUGGAUCAGCAGCUCUUUGGGCAGUUUGAGCUUUCUGAGUUGGCACAGAAAGAACAUUCUUUGUUGUGCUUUUUUGAUGAUGUUUUUGAUGUUAGCUGUCCAUUUUAGAUCUUGCGAUAUGGUAGAACCUAGAAAUUCGAAGGUCUCUACUGUUGAUAGUAUGUUGUCUAGUUUUGUGAGAUGUGGAAGUAUGGAAAGGUUUCUCCUAAAGUCUACCACCAUUUUUACAGUUUUGAGUGUGUUCAGUUCCAGAUUGUUCCGGUCGCACCACGAGGCUAAUUGUUCAAUCUCCUGUCUGUAUGCGGAUUCAUCAUUGUCUUGAAUGAGACCGAUCACUGUUGUGUCAUCUGCGAACUUCAGUAGUUUAACAGAUGGAUCGUUAGAGAUGCAGUUAUUUGGUAUGGAGAGAGAAGUGGGGAGUGCACACAGCCUUGCUAAUCGUACAGGUAUCUGAUGUGAUCCUGCUUAGCUUCACCUGCUGCUUCCUGUCUGUUAGGAAGCUUGUGAUCCACUUACAAGUCUAUUCAGAUACCUGUAGCUGAUUUAGCUUAGUUAGAAGAGUGUCUGGAAUGAUGGUGUUGAAUGCUGAACUAAAGUCUACAGAGAGGAUCCUUGCUUAGGUCUUUGUUGUAGGAUGUAGUGCAGAGCCAUAUUAAAAGCAUCAGCUGGUGUGCUCAACAACUUUAUUUUUUCACCUCUUCCCAGCUGCCUAGAGUGCAAAGGAAAUGUACCAUAAAGCCCAACUAGCAGAACUGGCCUCAGAGCCUGAGGUCAGAAGGGAGGUUACUGAAGGCAUGCAGAGAAGUUCCCUCUUGCAAAAUUACUGUCAACUGAAUUGUGCCAACGUCACACAAUUCCAGUGCUGUGCUACGUCUGUCUACUGCUCUCUUGAAGCUGUGAGUUCUUACACGGAGACCUGGGUCACAUCAGGACCAGCUGCUUCCAUUCCGGUGGUUUCCCAGGCUUCCUACUUCCUUGGGGAUUUAUCUAGUGACCCCUGGACAAGACCCUAAUCCUAAUCUUAAUCCUGGGAAAGGUGAAAGGAAAGAGAAAAAGAAGAUGGCCAACAGCAGGUGAAAAACAAUCGCCUCGGGUUUCAUCCCGAUGACAACUGCUCUUGUUUUGUCUGCCCAGGGGCCCACUUGAGCGACAUGAUUGCUCGUUCACACCAGGAUGACGCUACCCACACAUUGAACCUACUAAUAAUCGCACAGCAAGCGGAAGGCGUGAUUUGCAUAUCGCGUGGUGCACAGCUUCAAAAUAACUCUUCCAAUAAAAGAAUAGAGAAGUGGAACUGAGAGUGGUCAUGGGGUGGAAGAAAACGAUUUUCCCUUCAAAUUUAAAGAUUAGGUAUGCGUUUUUUUAGGGUUGCAUAUCAACGAUUGCACCGCCUCUGUAGAUGCCAUUCACUUGACAACCGUCGGGCUUUGCAAUAGAAAUUUUGGGCUCACUUGUGGUCGUAAGCCAAGGACUGCCUGUACAAGGUCUUGAAAGCCGGGUCUCCACGUGCUGGAGGUUGGGACCCAGGCCAGGGGAGAAGAGCCAGUGUCCUGGCUGUGUAGACCAGUGGUUGGAUGACGGUCGGCAGUUCUUCUCUCCAUAGACCAAUGACGGCAUCUCUAACGAUCCAUCUGAUAAACUACUGAGGUUCGCAGAUGACACAACAGUGACCGGACUGCUUAUUUCUACCCUAUGACUAUCAUUAAGGGUUGUAUCUUAUGAUUCCUGAUGAAGGUAUCUUUUAUGUACACUGAGAGUGUAUGCACCAAGACAAAUUCCUUGUGUCUUCAAUCACACUUGGCCA